This 26-nucleotide non-coding RNA is filed under the name Rattus norvegicus (Norway rat). The record is from RNAcentral. Lineage: Eukaryota; Metazoa; Chordata; Mammalia; Rodentia; Muridae.
GAACUUCUAGGCCUCCUGUCUCCCAC